RNAcentral lists this ribosomal RNA (497 nucleotides) under uncultured bacterium. RNAcentral describes it as "partial 16S ribosomal RNA". It matches the Rfam family "Bacterial small subunit ribosomal RNA", at positions 28 to 507 of the family's 1533-position model. The record is from RNAcentral.
GAUGAACGCUGGCGGCGUGCCUAAUACGUGCAAGUCGAGCGAACGGACGAGAAGCUUGCUUCUCUGAUGUUAGCGGCGGACGGGUGAGUAACACGUGGAUAACCUACCUAUAAGACUGGGAUAACUUCGGGAAACCGUAGCUAAUACCGGAUAAUAUUUUGAACCGCAUGGUUCAAAAGUGAAAGACGGUCUUGCUGUCACUUAUAGAUGGAUCCGCGCUGCAUUAGCUAGUUGGUAAGGUAACGGCUUACCAAGGCAACGAUGCAUAGCCGACCUGAGAGGGUGAUCGGCCACACUGGAACUGAGACACGGCCCAGACUCCUACGGGAGGCAGCAGUAGGGAAUCUUCCGCAAUGGGCGAAAGCCUGACGGAGCAACGCCGCGUGAGUGAUGAAGGUCUUCGGAUCGUAAAACUCUGUUAUUAGGGAAGAACAUAUGUGUAAGUAACUGUGCACAUCUUGACGGUACCUAAUCAGAAAGCCACGGCUAACUACGUG